RNAcentral lists this long non-coding RNA (970 nucleotides) under Nicotiana tabacum (common tobacco). Its description in RNAcentral is "long non-coding RNA (NTAB_LNC005399)". Lineage: Eukaryota; Viridiplantae; Streptophyta; Magnoliopsida; Solanales; Solanaceae. The record is from RNAcentral.
UAAUGCUAACUAAAAGGAAAGUUCAGUUUAGGGUUUAAAACCCUAAUGCUGAUUGCAUGGAAAAGCUCAGUUUAGGGUUUAAAACCCUAAUACUGGCUGAAAGGAAAAAGUUCAGUUUAGGGUUUAAAACCCUAAUGCUGACUAAAAGGGAAAUUCAGUUUAGGGUUUAAAACCCUAAUACUGAUUGCAUGGAAAAAGCUCAGUUUAGGGUUUAAAACCCUAAUGCUGGCUGAAAGGAAAAAGUUCAGUUUAGGGUUUAAAACCCUAAUGCUGACUAAAAGGAAAAUUCAGUUUAGGGUUUAAAACCCUAAUGCUGACUAAAAGGAAAAUUCAGUUUAGGGUUUAAAAUCCUAAUGCUGAUUGUAUGGAAAAGCUUAGUUUAGGGGUUUAAAACCCUAAUGCUGGCUGAAAGGAAAAAGUUCAGUUUAGGGUUUAAAACCCUAAUGCUGACUAAAAGGAAAAUUCAGUUUAGGGUUUAAAACCCUAAUGCUGAUAGCAUGGAAAAGCUCAGUUUAGGGUUUAAAACCCUAAUGCUGGCUGAAUGGAAAAGUUCAGUUUAGGGUUUAAAACCCUAAUGCUGACUAAAAGGAAAAGUUCAGUUUAAGGUUUAAAACCCUAAUGCUGACUAAAAGGAAAAGUUCAGUUUAAGGUUUAAAACCUUAAUGCUGACUAAAAGGAAAAUUCAGUUUAGGGUUUAAAACCCUAAUGUUGAUUGCAUGGAAAAGCUCAGUUUAGGGUUUAAAACCCUAGUGCUGGCUGAAUGAAAAAAGUUCAGUUUAGGGUUUAAAACCCUAAUGCUGACUAAAAGGAAAGUUCAGUUUAGGGUUUAAAACCCUAAUGCUGAUUGCAUGGAAAAGCUCAGUUUAGGGUUUAAAACCAUAGUGCUGGCUGAAUGAAAAAAGUUCAGUUUAGGGUUUAAAACCCUAAUGCUGACUAAAAGGAAAAUUCAGUUCAGGGUUUAAAACCCUAA